GGCGCGGUAGCUCAGCUGGUAGAGCGAUGAAUUUUGUGCAGAAAUUUUCUUCCAUACAGAGAAUCCGAUUAGCGUAAAUUGGACUGUAGUUCCAGUGGAACUGAUUAAGUGAUUUUUCUAAUAUUAAAAAAAAGCAAGGACAAUCGGCACAUACUUCACCUCAUUUGUCGGCAGUUCGAUUCUGCCCCGCGCCU
This 194-nucleotide transfer RNA is filed under the name Bacteroidales bacterium KHT7. Its description in RNAcentral is "tRNA_Pseudo_Pseudo". It matches the Rfam family "tRNA". From Rfam's summary of the family: Transfer RNA (tRNA) molecules are approximately 80 nucleotides in length. The record is from RNAcentral. Lineage: Bacteria; Pseudomonadati; Bacteroidota; Bacteroidia; Bacteroidales.